Molecule: long non-coding RNA, 869 nt
Organism: Neogale vison (American mink)
Lineage: Eukaryota; Metazoa; Chordata; Mammalia; Carnivora; Mustelidae
Exons: 5
Source: RefSeq, a predicted model, not a curated record
UUCCUUCGGAGCCGGAGCGGGCGGCUGUCCUCCGGCUCCACAUGGUACAGGGUUGAAUUGCGGAUGGGCCUUCCCACGCACAUCAGCUUACCUGGCUGCCUGCCUUCUUGGACGCCAACACCUGAAAGCAGAAGCAACUGAGACCAUAGAACUUCAUCAUAAUCUCAGGUGUAUAUGUCUGUGUAUAUAUUGCGAAAUCGUCACUCGAGGUGCUCUCCGAAACACAGGUCAACUUUGCCCUAACCUGGCCACAGAUUGAACCCAGCUCCACGGCCAGCUCCUACCACACCCUCCAUCUCCGGAAUGUCUCCUUCCCAAGAGAGAUUGAGAAAGCAUGUGGGGGACUUGGUGUCAUUGUGCUGGUGGCCUGUCCAGAGAGGUGCAAAGUGAGGCCAGACUAUGCAACUUCCUUGUGGAAAUAAACAAAGACCACCCAGAUGAAGACAAAGACGUUCUCCAUUCAGAGCUCGCUACAGCAAGAGAGGGAGCGACUCUCACUUGUGUUUGGCAGAGACUCCCAGACAGACCAAGGACUGAGGGGAGCCCCAGAGUGGCCAAAAGGGAAGGCUCAGAUACGCUCUUCUCACUGGAGGGGAAUCUCGGUCACCGUUCGGAGGGCAGCGCUGUGCUAAGGACUGCUGCACAGCCCCGUCGACCCACACCCGCACGGCCCCUCCUUUGACCUGUUAGCCCUGCUCUUAGUUCUGCUUCGAAGCGAAGUUACAAGAACCUCGAGAUCAGCCGCACGCUGAAUGUCUCUGGACACGCCUUCUGUGGGCUCUGCAGACCCCGUGUCUGAAGGCUCCUUUGGAGCCGAGGAAGGCUGCUCUGCUCCCCAUCCCCCUAUAGAACCCGCACGCCCCCUCCCC